GACGAACGCUGGCGGCGUGCUUAACACAUGCAAGUCGAACGGAAAGACCCUGCUUUUGUGGGGUGCUCGAGUGGCGAACGGGUGAGUAACACGUGAGUAACCUGCCCUUGACUUUGGGAUAACUUCAGGAAACUGGGGCUAAUACCGGAUAGGAGCUCCUGCUGCAUGGUGGGGGUUGGAAAGUUUCGGCGGUUGGGGAUGGACUCGCGGCUUAUCAGCUUGUUGGUGGGGUAGUGGCUUACCAAGGCUUUGACGGGUAGCCGGCCUGAGAGGGUGACCGGCCACAUUGGGACUGAGAUACGGACCAGACUCCUACGGGAGGCAGCAGUGGGAAAUAUUGCACAAUGGGCGGAAGCCUGAUGCAGCAACGCCGCGUGCGGGAUGACGGCCUUCGGGUUGUAAACCGCUUUAGCCUGUGACGAAGCGUGAGUGACGGUAAUGGGUAAAGAAGCACCGGCUAACUACGUG
RNAcentral lists this ribosomal RNA (468 nucleotides) under uncultured bacterium. RNAcentral's name for it is "partial 16S ribosomal RNA". It matches the Rfam family "Bacterial small subunit ribosomal RNA", at positions 28 to 507 of the family's 1533-position model. The record is from RNAcentral.